CGGCUAACUCCGUGCCAGCAGCCGCGGUAAUACGGAGGAUUCAAGCGUUAUCCGGAUUUAUUGGGUUUAAAGGGUGCGUAGGCGGUUUGAUAAGUUAGAGGUGAAAUUUCGGGGCUCAACCCUGAACGUGCCUCUAAUACUGUUGAGCUAGAGAGUAGUUGCGGUAGGCGGAAUGUAUGGUGUAGCGGUGAAAUGCUUAGAGAUCAUACAGAAAACCGAUUGCGAAGGGCAGCUAACCAACUAUAUCUGACGUUGAAGCACGAAAGCGUGGGGGAGCAAACAGGGAUUAGAUACCCUGGCUAGCCCCACUGGAAAACAAUGAUUACUAGGUGUGGGAAGAAUUGACCCCUUCAGUGCCGCAGUUAACACAAUAAGUAAUCCACCUGGGGAGUACGACCGCAAGGUUGAAACUCAAAGGAAUUGACGGGGGCCCGCACAAGCAGUGGAGUAUGUGGUUUAAUUCGACGCAACGCGAAGAACCUUACCAAGUCUUGACAUCCUGCGACGGUGCUGGAAACAGUACUUUCCUUCGGGACGCAGAGACAGGUGGUGCAUGGUUGUCGUCAGCUCGUGUCGUGAGAUGUUGGGUUAAGUCCCGCAACGAGCGCAACCCUUAUGGUCAGUUACUACGUAAGAGGACUCUGGCCAGACUGCCGUUGACAAAACGGAGGAAGGUGGGGAUGACGUCAAAUCAUCAUGCCCUUUAUGACUUGGGCUACACACGUACUACAAUGGCGUUAAACAAAGAGAAGCAAGACCGCGAGGUGGAGCAAAACUCAGAAACAACGUCCCAGUUCGGACUGCAGGCUGCAACUCGCCUGCACGAAGUCGGAAUUGCUAGUAAUCGCAGAUCAGCAUGCUGCGGUGAAUACGUUCCCGGGCCUUGUACACACCGCCCGUCA
RNAcentral lists this ribosomal RNA (902 nucleotides) under uncultured bacterium. RNAcentral's name for it is "bacterial SSU rRNA". It matches the Rfam family "Bacterial small subunit ribosomal RNA", at positions 494 to 1399 of the family's 1533-position model. The record is from RNAcentral.